GGGACCGUGGUCUAGUUUGGUAUGAUGCAGGUUUCGGGAAUCUGUGACCCGAGUUCAAAUCUCGGCGGUCCCA
RNAcentral lists this transfer RNA (73 nucleotides) under archaeon. RNAcentral describes it as "tRNA-Pro". It matches the Rfam family "tRNA". From Rfam's summary of the family: Transfer RNA (tRNA) molecules are approximately 80 nucleotides in length. The record is from RNAcentral.